Molecule: ribosomal RNA, 550 nt
Filed under: uncultured bacterium
Lineage: Bacteria
Description: bacterial SSU rRNA
Rfam family: Bacterial small subunit ribosomal RNA
Source: RNAcentral
UAGGGAAUCUUCUACAAUGGACGCAAGUCUGAUGGAGCAACGCCGCGUGAGUGAAGAAGGUCUUCGGAUCGUAAAACUCUGUUGUUAGAGAAGAACACGAGUGAGAGUAACUGUUCAUUCGAUGACGGUAUCUAACCAGCAAGUCACGGCUAACUACGUGCCAGCAGCCGCGGUAAUACGUAGGUGGCAAGCGUUGUCCGGAUUUAUUGGGCGUAAAGGGAACGCAGGCGGUCUUUUAAGUCUGAUGUGAAAGCCUUCGGCUUAACCGGAGUAGUGCAUUGGAAACUGGAAGACUUGAGUGCAGAAGAGGAGAGUGGAACUCCAUGUGUAGCGGUGAAAUGCGUAGAUAUAUGGAAGAACACCAGUGGCGAAAGCGGCUCUCUGGUCUGUAACUGACGCUGAGGUUCGAAAGCGUGGGUAGCAAACAGGAUUAGAUACCCUGGUAGUCCACGCCGUAAACGAUGAAUGCUAGGUGUUGGAGGGUUUCCGCCCUUCAGUGCCGCAGCUAACGCAAUAAGCAUUCCGCCUGGGGAGUACGACCGCAAGGUUG